GGAAAAGCAAAACUAAAAAAUACUCAAACAAGCAAAAAAACACCAACAAAAAAUACAGAUAUGGUGUGUUUGAAAGCACCAGUGACAAUUAUAUGUCCUUGAAAAUCCUUGAAAACCUUUCACCAUUCAAUCCUGUACCCUGGUCUGUCAAACAUGCAUAUGGUUGCAUAUUUAAGGCAUGUCUUAAUUAUUAUCAUUAUUUUAUGAAUUUGAUGGCAUUUAUGCUGAUCAGCUGAGCCAAAUCCAAAACACAGAUACUCCCAGGAACAGCAAUCUAGAACUGAAAUCAUAAUCUGAAGUAGUAACCAGACUGAGGCUACUCAGUCCUCCCCUGAGGAGGGGAAAUAAUAACUUUCUGCUCUAUAAAAUUAGGCUUUUUGCAAAGUUAAUCGAUUUGAUUUUUGGUCACAUCAUGACUCUUGCUCCCUUUGAACUUCCUGUGCAGUGCCAUUUUGGGGUGUUUUUCAGGUCUCCUGGUUUUUCCUCCUCUUGUGUUUUCUGUUUACCUUCAUUUCCCAUCUCGGCCACUUUUUUGUGCCCCUUCUCCCACAAACCUUACAUUUUUUCAAUUCCUUUUGGAUUAUUUCUCUCUUCAUAAUUACUCAGAAAUUUUCACAUGGACUUCUUGCCAUUACUAAUUGCUGUUUUCCUGUAGCCAUUUCAUGAAUUUAUAAUUACCUCUUUGAUUGUUAGGAAUAAACAUGGAAUUAUCACUGUGGGGUUUUUUUAAAAACUGAAUUCAUAUGCUCUGAAUGAUGUCAUUUUGCUUCAGGAAAACAGAAAUAUCCAUGAAAUGGCAGUUUGCUGUCAUGAGAUCUAAAAACCUAAGCCAGCAGGAAACUGGUGUGAAGUGGUGAUGCCUCAUGAACUUUCUGAGCUAAUGAAGAAAUUUGCUGGUAGGCACGAUAUCUUCUGUUUUACUGUGCUUCGUCUUUAAAUACACAGAAAUGGCUUUAGACUUCAGUUAAAGUACUGUUGGGACUUGCAGGCGGCAAAAAAAGCAAGAGGAUACAUAUCAGAAAAUUCCAUGUUCUGCUUUGUGCUGUAGCAAACCGAUGACACUCUCAAAUAAUGAGUGAAAUUGCAGUUUAACCAGCCUUGCCAUUAAUGAUCGUGUAUGGUGUCUCUGGAAUUUUAAAAGCAGAAAUUGCACUAAGAUGUAUAUACAAAAAAAGAUAUUUACAUCAGCUGUGACAUGUUGUGAAAGUCUUGGGACUCCUUGUUGAUUAUGAGAUAAUGAAUCAGAAGGAGUGUUUGCUUAUUUAAAAAUAGAGUGGUAAUGUAAGCUAAAUGUCAUGUAUGUAUAAAAAUGGGGAUUAGCCUUUUUACAUCCCUGACAUGAAUACAUUCAUCUGUGCAGAAUGCAUUAAAAGUUAAGAAUAAAAACAGGAGAAAGGGCAAUUUCUUGCCUCAUCAAGCUAAAA
This 1424-nucleotide long non-coding RNA is filed under the name Strigops habroptila (Kakapo). RNAcentral describes it as "lncRNA (ENSSHBG00005008609.1)". The record is from RNAcentral. Lineage: Eukaryota; Metazoa; Chordata; Aves; Psittaciformes; Psittacidae.